RNAcentral lists this transfer RNA (70 nucleotides) under Berthellina sp. TLT-2006. Its description in RNAcentral is "tRNA-Thr". It matches the Rfam family "tRNA". From Rfam's summary of the family: Transfer RNA (tRNA) molecules are approximately 80 nucleotides in length. Their secondary structure includes four short double-helical elements and three loops (D, anti-codon, and T loops). Further hydrogen bonds mediate the characteristic L-shaped molecular structure. tRNAs have two regions of fundamental functional importance: the anti-codon, which is responsible for specific mRNA codon recognition, and the 3' end, to which the tRNAs corresponding amino acid is attached (by aminoacyl-tRNA synthetases). tRNAs cope with the degeneracy of the genetic code in two manners: having more than one tRNA (with a specific anti-codon) for a particular amino acid; and 'wobble' base-pairing, i.e. permitting non-standard base-pairing at the 3rd anti-codon position. Lineage: Eukaryota; Metazoa; Mollusca; Gastropoda; Pleurobranchida; Pleurobranchidae. The record is from RNAcentral.
UCUAAAAUAGCUUAAGUCUUAAAGCUUUGAUUUUGUAAGUCAAAAAUGAGUAACAGUUCCUCUUUUAGAA